Molecule: ribosomal RNA, 1320 nt
Filed under: Triticum aestivum (bread wheat)
Lineage: Eukaryota; Viridiplantae; Streptophyta; Magnoliopsida; Poales; Poaceae
Description: partial small subunit ribosomal RNA
Source: RNAcentral
AUGCUCCGGCUGCGAAGCUCCAUCCUCGCCCAUCUCCUCUCUUCUUCUCCAGCCACCUCUCCCGCAUCCCCUCUCCGCCGCCUCCUCUCUGCCUCUGCCGUAGCGCCCGCCAUCUCCCCAAGCGCCGGAUUCGCCGCGGAGGAGUACCUCGUCUCCACCUGCGGCCUCAGGCGAGAACAGGCCCUCAAGGUCUCCACCAAGAUCUCCCACCUCAAGUCCCCAGCUAAUCCCGAUGCCGUCCUCUCAUUCCUCGCCGGCCUGGGUCUCUCCACCACCGACGCCGCCGCCCUCAUAGCCAAGGACCCGCUGUUCCUCUGCGCCAGCGUUGAGAGGACCCUGGCGCCCGUCGUCGUCGAGCUCACCGCGCUCGGUCUGUCGCACUCGGAGAUCGCGCGCCUAGCCUCACUCAGCGGCCGCCAAUUCCGUUGUAGAUCCAUCGUCUCCAAACUGCACUACUACCUUGGCCUCGUCGGCUCCUCCCACACCUUCCUCCGGGUUAUGAGGUUCUGCAAUGUCUUCUCAUACAGCCUCGAGAGGGUGGUCAAGCCCAAUGUGGCUUUCUUGAAAGAGUGCGGGCUAGAUGAUUGUGAUAUUGACUGGUUGUGCAUCUCAACACCGAGGCUGCUCACCACCGACCCGAUGCGUGUCCAGACGAUGGUGACACGUGCUGAAGACAUAGGUGUGCCCCGUCGCUCUGGGAUGUUCAGGCGGGCUCUUAAUGUUGUUGCCUUUCUCUCUAAGGAGGAGAUCACAGCCAGAGUGGACUACUUAAAGAAAACGUUCAGGUGGACGGAUGCUGAGGUGGGCAUUGCUGUUUCGAAGGCUCCCACGGUGCUGGGAAGGUCCAAGGAAUCGCUUCAGCGCAGGUCCGAGUUCCUCAUCUCCGAGGCGGGCUUGCAACCGGCUUACAUUGCUCAACGGUCGGUAAUACUCGGUCACAGCCUGGAGGGCCGGCUCAGGCCCCGGUACUACGCUGUAAAGUUUCUCAAGGAAAAUGGAUUGCUCAGGCGUGACCCAAGCUACGAUACAAUUGUCAAGCUGACCGACAAGGUAUUCAGGGAGAAAUUCAUAUACCCUCACAAGGAAGCUGCACCACACCUCGAAGAGGACUAUGAUGCCGCUUGUAAGGGGAAGUGCCGACUAAUUUCAGAUUCACAUGAGCCAGGAACAAGCUAUGAUAUAGCUAUGUGUUGCUUGUCCGCUGCUGUAUGUCUCUUAGAUGCUGGGUUGUUGUUGCUAAUGUGUGAUGAAACUGAUAAUUUGGUUCCUGAAUAUUGUUAUAUGAUGCCAUCAUUCAGCAGAGAAGAAACCAUGGACUGA